CCUACGGGAGGCAGCAGUGGGGAAUAUUGCACAAUGGGGGAAACCCUGAUGCAGCGACGCCGCGUGAGUGAAGAAGUAUUUCGGUACGUAAAGCUCUAUCAGCAGGGAAGAAAAUGACGGUACCUGACUAAGAAGCCCCGGCUAACUACGUGCCAGCAGCCGCGGUAAUACGUAGGGGGCAAGCGUUAUCCGGAUUUACUGGGUGUAAAGGGAGCGUAGACGGCAGCGCAAGUCUGGAGUGAAAUCCCAUGGCUUAACCAUGGAACUGCUUUGGAAACGGUGCAGCUAGAGUGCAGGAGAGGUAAGCGGAAUUCCUAGUGUAGCGGUGAAAUGCGUAGAUAUUAGGAGGAACACCAGUGGCGAAGGCGGCUUACUGGACUGUAACUGACGUUGAGGCUCGAAAGCGUGGGGAGCAAACAGGAUUAGAUACCCCAGUAGUC
Molecule: ribosomal RNA, 440 nt
Filed under: uncultured bacterium
Lineage: Bacteria
Description: partial 16S ribosomal RNA
Rfam family: Bacterial small subunit ribosomal RNA
Source: RNAcentral